ACGGGAGGCAGCAGUGGGGAAUAUUGCACAAUGGGGGAAACCCUGAUGCAGCAAUGCCGCGUGAGUGAAGAAGUAUUUCGGUAUGUAAAGCUCUAUCAGCAGGGAAGAUAAUGACGGUACCUGACUAAGAAGCUCCGGCUAAAUACGUGCCAGCAGCCGCGGUAAUACGUAUGGAGCAAGCGUUAUCCGGAUUUACUGGGUGUAAAGGGUGCGUAGGUGGCAUGGUAAGUCAGAUGUGAAAUACCGGGGCUCAACCCCGGAGCUGCAUUUGAAACUGCCAGGCUGGAGUACAGGAGAGGCAAGCGGAAUUCCUAGUGUAGCGGUGAAAUGCGUAGAUAUUAGGAGGAACACCAGUGGCGAAGGCGGCUUUCUGGACUGUAACUGACACUGAGGCUCGAAAGCGUGGGGAGCAAACAGGAUUAGAUACCCUGGUA
This 434-nucleotide ribosomal RNA is filed under the name uncultured Lachnospiraceae bacterium. RNAcentral's name for it is "bacterial SSU rRNA". It matches the Rfam family "Bacterial small subunit ribosomal RNA", at positions 341 to 792 of the family's 1533-position model. The record is from RNAcentral. Lineage: Bacteria; Bacillati; Bacillota; Clostridia; Lachnospirales; Lachnospiraceae.